UGAGGAAUAUUGGUCAAUGGGCGUGAGCCUGAACCAGCCAAGUAGCGUGCAGGAAGACGGCCCUAUGGGUUGUAAACUGCUUUUAUGCGGGGAUAAAGGAGUCCACGUGUGGAUUUUUGCAGGUACCGCAUGAAUAAGGACCGGCUAAUUCCGUGCCAGCAGCCGCGGUAAUACGGAAGGUCCGGGCGUUAUCCGGAUUUAUUGGGUUUAAAGGGAGCGUAGGCCGCGUUUUAAGCGUGUUGUGAAAUGUAGACGCCCAACGUCUGCAUCGCAGCGCGAACUGGGACGCUUGAGUACGCGCAACGUUGGCGGAAUUCGUCGUGUAGCGGUGAAAUGCUUAGGUAUGACGAGGAACUCCGAUUGCGAAGGCAGCUGACGGGAGCGGCACUGACGCUUAAGCUCGAAGGUGCGGGUAUCAAACAGG
This 424-nucleotide ribosomal RNA is filed under the name Verrucomicrobiota bacterium. RNAcentral's name for it is "Verrucomicrobia bacterium partial 16S ribosomal RNA". It matches the Rfam family "Bacterial small subunit ribosomal RNA", at positions 355 to 776 of the family's 1533-position model. Lineage: Bacteria; Pseudomonadati; Verrucomicrobiota. The record is from RNAcentral.